CAGGGGUGCCCGUCCGCCCUGCCCUCCCUGGGACUGGCCAGGGCCGGGCCCACAGUGCCCAACUCGCCCCCGGGGUGGCAGUUCCCGUUAACCUUAGCUACAAAGUCAAAGGUUCUCCCCAGUCAACUGGAGCCCUCACUGGCCUCAUGCCCCCAGGUCAGGCAACCCAAUAAGCGGCUGUUCCCCAUCCAAACUGCCUCCCAGCUCUGCUGGUACCUUCCUGGCUCCUUGGAGAUUUAUGGCUUCUGUUUCUGCUUCCCUGAGUUCUGUUCCUUGGGGCAGAUGGCAGAGCAGGGACCCAGCCCAUGCUGAUGCCUCAGGAAGCCUCCAAGGAUGGAGAGUGGCCUGGCUGGUGACGGCACAGGUAAGAAAGAGAAGAUGAAGAAGGCAGGAAGUCAACCAGACGCCUCCUCCCAGGCCUGCCUGCCUUUGUCCUCUCUGUAGCUGAGCAUGACUUGCUGUCAGUAGCUCAGCCAGUAACUUUUAAAAUUGUAGAAUUUCAGGCGAAUUAAAGGAUAUCGA
RNAcentral lists this long non-coding RNA (522 nucleotides) under Dasypus novemcinctus (nine-banded armadillo). Its description in RNAcentral is "lncRNA (ENSDNOG00000050956.1)". Lineage: Eukaryota; Metazoa; Chordata; Mammalia; Cingulata; Dasypodidae. The record is from RNAcentral.